RNAcentral lists this ribosomal RNA (1268 nucleotides) under Escherichia coli. RNAcentral's name for it is "partial 23S ribosomal RNA". It matches the Rfam family "Bacterial large subunit ribosomal RNA", at positions 1101 to 2352 of the family's 2925-position model. The record is from RNAcentral. Lineage: Bacteria; Pseudomonadati; Pseudomonadota; Gammaproteobacteria; Enterobacterales; Enterobacteriaceae.
UUGGCUUAGAAGCAGCCAUCAUUUAAAGAAAGCGUAAUAGCUCACUGGUCGAGUCGGCCUGCGCGGAAGAUGUAACGGGGCUAAACCAUGCACCGAAGCUGCGGCAGCGACACUAUGUGUUGUUGGGUAGGGGAGCGUUCUGUAAGCCUGUGAAGGUGGCCUGUGAGGGUUGCUGGAGGUAUCAGAAGUGCGAAUGCUGACAUAAGUAACGAUAAAGCGGGUGAAAAGCCCGCUCGCCGGAAGACCAAGGGUUCCUGUCCAACGUUAAUCGGGGCAGGGUGAGUCGACCCCUAAGGCGAGGCCGAAAGGCGUAGUCGAUGGGAAACAGGUUAAUAUUCCUGUACUUGGUGUUACUGCGAAGGGGGGACGGAGAAGGCUAUGUUGGCCGGGCGACGGUUGUCCCGGUUUAAGCGUGUAGGCUGGUUUUCCAGGCAAAUCCGGAAAACCAAGGCUGAGGCGUGAUGACGAGGCACUACGGUGCUGAAGCGACAAAUGCCCUGCUUCCAGGAAAAGCCUCUAAGCAUCAGGUAACAUCAAAUCGUACCCCAAACCGACACAGGUGGUCAGGUAGAGAAUACCAAGGCGCUUGAGAGAACUCGGGUGAAGGAACUAGGCAAAAUGGUGCCGUAACUUCGGGAGAAGGCACGCUGAUAUGUAGGUGAAGCGACUUGCUCGUGGAGCUGAAAUCAGUCGAAGAUACCAGCUGGCUGCAACUGUUUAUUAAAAACACAGCACUGUGCAAACACGAAAGUGGACGUAUACGGUGUGACGCCUGCCCGGUGCCGGAAGGUUAAUUGAUGGGGUUAGCGGUAACGCGAAGCUCUUGAUCGAAGCCCCGGUAAACGGCGGCCGUAACUAUAACGGUCCUAAGGUAGCGAAAUUCCUUGUCGGGUAAGUUCCGACCUGCACGAAUGGCGUAAUGAUGGCCAGGCUGUCUCCACCCGAGACUCAGUGAAAUUGAACUCGCUGUGAAGAUGCAGUGUACCCGCGGCAAGACGGAAAGACCCCGUGAACCUUUACUAUAGCUUGACACUGAACAUUGAGCCUUGAUGUGUAGGAUAGGUGGGAGGCUUUGAAGUGUGGACGCCAGUCUGCAUGGAGCCGACCUUGAAAUACCACCCUUUAAUGUUUGAUGUUCUAACGUGGGCCCCUAAUCGGGGUUGCGGACAGUGUCUGGUGGGUAGUUUGACUGGGGCGGUCUCCUCCUAAAGAGUAACGGAGGAGCACGAAGGUUGGCUAAUCCUGGUCGGACAUCAGGAGGUUAGUGC